Long non-coding RNA from Siniperca chuatsi (mandarin fish), 3861 nucleotides. RefSeq lists it as uncharacterized. The transcript has 9 exons. Lineage: Eukaryota; Metazoa; Chordata; Actinopteri; Centrarchiformes; Sinipercidae. The record is from RefSeq and is a predicted model, not a curated record.
CUUUGGGGUUGUCUUGGUUGUGAGUUUUUCAACAGACAUAUCACGGUAAAUUUACACCAUUUUUACAUGACUAGCUAAAUGCAUACAUUUGUCAUCAAAAUUACCCAAACACAAGCACUGACUUGAGUUCUGAAUGCAGUAAGUGCUUCUUGUUGGGGUAGUUUUGCUGACCUCUGCAUCUUCAGGUGCCUAAGCUGUGUGUCAUUUGAAAACUUCAGUAAGAGAUGCACUUCAAUUUUAAUCACAUUCUGCAACUGACAUACAAGACAAGUAAAUAUAACAAAGUACAUUGCUUGUGAUUCUCUACUGAAUCCCUUCAUAAACUUUAUAUGUAGAUUCCUAAUUUUUGUAGACAUGCAAUAAUUCCUGCUGUCUCAGAAGCUGUCUUAGGGUCUUGUUGCAGAAUGUGCCCUUUGGAGUAGAUAUUCAGUGCUAACUCUGCUUCUUUGUUUUGCUUUAAAGUACUGCUGAUGGAGCUGCAAUGGCAGGCCACCAUGUGGCAAUGAGUUGCAUCAAGAAAACUCAUUGGAGUCUAAUUGACCACUCAACAACUUCUUAUGGCAUGCAUGAAUUGAAGCUGAUGGUUGUCUGUUCAUCAAGUACAAAUAGUGUUAUUGUUUACUUACCGUUGUCAAGACCAUUGAAACUUCAUGAAAAAGAAGGCGGAGUUGGGUGCAAAUGGAUGCAUACUGUGUUUAAGAUGGGCAAAUCUGUGCCAGAAACAUCACAUCCACUGUGACUGGGACACCACACACAAGAUGCCAGAAUUAAACAGCGGGACUAUGGAGAAACUCAUAAGCAAAGAAGAUGACUCACUGCAAGUCUGUCAUAUUGGCCCAACUUGAGCAUUGAGUUGUGCUUGAAUUCAUACUGCUGAUGGAGCUGCAAUGGCAGGCCACCAUGUGGCAAUGAGUUGCAUCAAGAAAACUCAUUGGAGUCUAAUUGACCACUCAACAACUUCUUAUGGCAUGCAUGAAUUGAAGCUGAUGGUUGUCUGUUCAUCAAGUACAAAUAGUGUUAUUGUUUACUUACCGUUGUCAAGACCAUUGAAACUUCAUGAAAAAGAAGGCGGAGUUGGGUGCAAAUGGAUGCAUACUGUGUUUAAGAUGGGCAAAUCUGUGCCAGAAACAUCACAUCCACUGUGACUGGGACACCACACACAAGAUGCCAGAAUUAAACAGCGGGACUAUGGAGAAACUCAUAAGCAAAGAAGAUGACUCACUGCAAGUCUGUCAUAUUGGCCCAACUUGAGCAUUGAGUUGUGCUUGAAUUCAUACUGCUGAUGGAGCUGCAAUGGCAGGCCACCAUGUGGCAAUGAGUUGCAUCAAGAAAACUCAUUGGAGUCUAAUUGACCACUCAACAACUUCUUAUGGCAUGCAUGAAUUGAAGCUGAUGGUUGUCUGUUCAUCAAGUACAAAUAGUGUUAUUGUUUACUUACCGUUGUCAAGACCAUUGAAACUUCAUGAAAAAGAAGGCGGAGUUGGGUGCAAAUGGAUGCAUACUGUGUUUAAGAUGGGCAAAUCUGUGCCAGAAACAUCACAUCCACUGUGACUGGGACACCACACACAAGAUGCCAGAAUUAAACAGCGGGACUAUGGAGAAACUCAUAAGCAAAGAAGAUGACUCACUGCAAGUCUGUCAUAUUGGCCCAACUUGAGCAUUGAGUUGUGCUUGAAUUCAUACUGCUGAUGGAGCUGCAAUGGCAGGCCACCAUGUGGCAAUGAGUUGCAUCAAGAAAACUCAUUGGAGUCUAAUUGACCACUCAACAACUUCUUAUGGCAUGCAUGAAUUGAAGCUGAUGGUUGUCUGUUCAUCAAGUACAAAUAGUGUUAUUGUUUACUUACCGUUGUCAAGACCAUUGAAACUUCAUGAAAAAGAAGGCGGAGUUGGGUGCAAAUGGAUGCAUACUGUGUUUAAGAUGGGCAAAUCUGUGCCAGAAACAUCACAUCCACUGUGACUGGGACACCACACACAAGAUGCCAGAAUUAAACAGCGGGACUAUGGAGAAACUCAUAAGCAAAGAAGAUGACUCACUGCAAGUCUGUCAUAUUGGCCCAACUUGAGCAUUGAGUUGUGCUUGAAUUCAUACUGCUGAUGGAGCUGCAAUGGCAGGCCACCAUGUGGCAAUGAGUUGCAUCAAGAAAACUCAUUGGAGUCUAAUUGACCACUCAACAACUUCUUAUGGCAUGCAUGAAUUGAAGCUGAUGGUUGUCUGUUCAUCAAGUACAAAUAGUGUUAUUGUUUACUUACCGUUGUCAAGACCAUUGAAACUUCAUGAAAAAGAAGGCGGAGUUGGGUGCAAAUGGAUGCAUACUGUGUUUAAGAUGGGCAAAUCUGUGCCAGAAACAUCACAUCCACUGUGACUGGGACACCACACACAAGAUGCCAGAAUUAAACAGCGGGACUAUGGAGAAACUCAUAAGCAAAGAAGAUGACUCACUGCAAGUCUGUCAUAUUGGCCCAACUUGAGCAUUGAGUUGUGCUUGAAUUCAUACUGCUGAUGGAGCUGCAAUGGCAGGCCACCAUGUGGCAAUGAGUUGCAUCAAGAAAACUCAUUGGAGUCUAAUUGACCACUCAACAACUUCUUAUGGCAUGCAUGAAUUGAAGCUGAUGGUUGUCUGUUCAUCAAGUACAAAUAGUGUUAUUGUUUACUUACCGUUGUCAAGACCAUUGAAACUUCAUGAAAAAGAAGGCGGAGUUGGGUGCAAAUGGAUGCAUACUGUGUUUAAGAUGGGCAAAUCUGUGCCAGAAACAUCACAUCCACUGUGACUGGGACACCACACACAAGAUGCCAGAAUUAAACAGCGGGACUAUGGAGAAACUCAUAAGCAAAGAAGAUGACUCACUGCAAGUCUGUCAUAUUGGCCCAACUUGAGCAUUGAGUUGUGCUUGAAUUCAUACUGCUGAUGGAGCUGCAAUGGCAGGCCACCAUGUGGCAAUGAGUUGCAUCAAGAAAACUCAUUGGAGUCUAAUUGACCACUCAACAACUUCUUAUGGCAUGCAUGAAUUGAAGCUGAUGGUUGUCUGUUCAUCAAGUACAAAUAGUGUUAUUGUUUACUUACCGUUGUCAAGACCAUUGAAACUUCAUGAAAAAGAAGGCGGAGUUGGGUGCAAAUGGAUGCAUACUGUGUUUAAGAUGGGCAAAUCUGUGCCAGAAACAUCACAUCCACUGUGACUGGGACACCACACACAAGAUGCCAGAAUUAAACAGCGGGACUAUGGAGAAACUCAUAAGCAAAGAAGAUGACUCACUGCAAGUCUGUCAUAUUGGCCCAACUUGAGCAUUGAGUUGUGCUUGAAUUCAUACUGCUGAUGGAGCUGCAAUGGCAGGCCACCAUGUGGCAAUGAGUUGCAUCAAGAAAACUCAUUGGAGUCUAAUUGACCACUCAACAACUUCUUAUGGCAUGCAUGAAUUGAAGCUGAUGGUUGUCUGUUCAUCAAGUACAAAUAGUGUUAUUGUUUACUUACCGUUGUCAAGACCAUUGAAACUUCAUGAAAAAGAAGGCGGAGUUGGGUGCAAAUGGAUGCAUACUGUGUUUAAGAUGGGCAAAUCUGUGCCAGAAACAUCACAUCCACUGUGACUGGGACACCACACACAAGAUGCCAGAAUUAAACAGCGGGACUAUGGAGAAACUCAUAAGCAAAGAAGAUGACUCACUGCAAGUCUGUCAUAUUGGCCCAACUUGAGCAUUGAGUUGUGCUUGAAUUCAUACUGCUGAUGGAGCUGCAAUGGCAGGCCACCAUGUGGCAAUGAGUUGCAUCAAGAAAACUCAUUGGAGUCUAAUUGACCACUCAACAACUUCUUAUGGCAUGCAUGAAUUGAAGCUGAUGGUUGUCUGUUCAUCAAGUACAAAUAGUGUU